RNAcentral lists this ribosomal RNA (785 nucleotides) under Brevibacterium aureum. RNAcentral describes it as "bacterial SSU rRNA". It matches the Rfam family "Bacterial small subunit ribosomal RNA", at positions 44 to 845 of the family's 1533-position model. Lineage: Bacteria; Bacillati; Actinomycetota; Actinomycetes; Micrococcales; Brevibacteriaceae. The record is from RNAcentral.
GUGCUUAACACAUGCAAGUCGAACGCUGAAGCCAGAAGCUUGCUUCUGGUGGAUGAGUGGCGAACGGGUGAGUAACACGUGAGUAACCUGCCCCUGAUUUCGGGAUAAGCCCGGGAAACUGGGUCUAAUACCGGAUACGACCACUGAACGCAUGUUCGGUGGUGGAAAGUUUUUUCGAUCGGGGAUGGGCUCGCGGCCUAUCAGCUUGUUGGUGGGGUAAUGGCCCACCAAGGCGACGACGGGUAGCCGGCCUGAGAGGGCGACCGGCCACACUGGGACUGAGACACGGCCCAGACUCCUACGGGAGGCAGCAGUGGGGAAUAUUGCACAAUGGGGGAAACCCUGAUGCAGCGACGCAGCGUGCGGGAUGACGGCCUUCGGGUUGUAAACCGCUUUCAGCAGGGAAGAAGCGAAAGUGACGGUACCUGCAGAAGAAGUACCGGCUAACUACGUGCCAGCAGCCGCGGUAAUACGUAGGGUACGAGCGUUGUCCGGAAUUAUUGGGCGUAAAGAGCUCGUAGGUGGUUGGUCACGUCUGCUGUGGAAACGCAACGCUUAACGUUGCGCGUGCAGUGGGUACGGGCUGACUAGAGUGCAGUAGGGGAGUCUGGAAUUCCUGGUGUAGCGGUGAAAUGCGCAGAUAUCAGGAGGAACACCGGUGGCGAAGGCGGGACUCUGGGCUGUAACUGACACUGAGGAGCGAAAGCAUGGGGAGCGAACAGGAUUAGAUACCCUGGUAGUCCAUGCCGUAAACGUUGGGCACUAGGUGUGGGGGACAUUCCACG